UUGAAUACACCUACCAAACGUCAUAGCU
RNAcentral lists this non-coding RNA (28 nucleotides) under Homo sapiens (human). Lineage: Eukaryota; Metazoa; Chordata; Mammalia; Primates; Hominidae. The record is from RNAcentral.